UAGAGUUUGAUCCUGGCUCAGAUUGAACGCUGGCGGCAGGCCUAACACAUGCAAGUCGAGCGGUAACACAGAGGAGCUUGCUCCUUGGGUGACGAGCGGCGGACGGGUGAGUAAUGCCUGGGGAUCUGCCCGAUAGAGGGGGAUAACUACGGGAAACUGUAGCUAAUACCGCAUAACGUCUACGGACCAAAGUGGGGGCUCUUCGGACCUCAUGCUAUCGGAUGAACCCAGGUGGGAUUAGCUAGUUGGUGAGGUAAUGGCUCACCAAGGCGACGAUCUCUAACUGGUUUGAGAGAAUGACCAGUCACACUGGAACUGAGACACGGUCCAGACUCCUACGGGAGGCAGCAGUGGGGAAUAUUGCACAAUGGGCGCAAGCCUGAUGCAGCCAUGCCGCGUGUGUGAAGAAGGCCUUCGGGUUGUAAAAGCACUUUCAGCGGGGAGGAAGGGUCUUUAGUUAAUACAUAGUGAGCAUUGACGUUCCUCGCAGAAGAAGCACCGGUUAAUUCCGUGCCAGCAGCCGCGGUAAUACGGAGGGUGCAAGCGUUAUAUCGGAAUUAUUGGGUGUAAAGCGCACGCAGGCGGUUUGUUAAUUCAGAUGUGAAAUCCCCGGGUCUCAACUUGGGAAAUCCAUUUGAAACUGGCAAGUUAGAGUCUAGUAGAGGGGGGUAGAAUUCCAGGUGUAGCGGUGAAAUGCGUAGAGAUGUGGAGGAAUACCGGUGGGGAAGGCGGCCCCUUGGACA
This 743-nucleotide ribosomal RNA is filed under the name uncultured bacterium. Its description in RNAcentral is "bacterial SSU rRNA". It matches the Rfam family "Bacterial small subunit ribosomal RNA", at positions 1 to 735 of the family's 1533-position model. The record is from RNAcentral.